UGGGGAAUUUUGGACAAUGGGGGAAACCCUGAUCCAGCCAUCCCGCGUGUGCGAUGAAGGCCUUCGGGUUGUAAAGCACUUUUGGCAGGAAAGAAACGUCGCGGGUUAAUACCCCGCGAAACUGACGGUACCUGCAGAAUAAGCACCGGCUAACUACGUGCCAGCAGCCGCGGUAAUACGUAGGGUGCAAGCGUUAAUCGGAAUUACUGGGCGUAAAGCGUGCGCAGGCGGUUCGGAAAGAAAGAUGUGAAAUCCCAGAGCUUAACUUUGGAACUGCAUUUUUAACUACCGGGCUAGAGUGUGUCAGAGGGAGGUGGAAUUCCGCGUGUAGCAGUGAAAUGCGUAGAUAUGCGGAGGAACACCGAUGGCGAAGGCAGCCUCCUGGGAUAACACUGACGCUCAUGCACGAAAGCGUGGGGAGCAAACAGGAUUAGAUACCCUGGUAGUCCACGCCCUAAACGAUGUCAACUAGCUGUUGGGGCCUUCGGGCCUUGGUAGCGCAGCUAACGCGUGAAGUUGACCGCCUGGGGAGUACGGUCGCAAGAUUAAAAACUUAAAGGAAUUGACGGGGGUGCAUAGCUNUUUCCCU
Molecule: ribosomal RNA, 589 nt
Filed under: uncultured bacterium
Lineage: Bacteria
Description: partial 16S ribosomal RNA
Rfam family: Bacterial small subunit ribosomal RNA
Source: RNAcentral